Molecule: ribosomal RNA, 492 nt
Filed under: uncultured bacterium
Lineage: Bacteria
Description: partial 16S ribosomal RNA
Rfam family: Bacterial small subunit ribosomal RNA
Source: RNAcentral
AGUGAACGCUGGCGGCAGGCCUAACACAUGCAAGUCGAACGGCAGCACAGUAAGAGCUUGCUCUUACGGGUGGCGAGUGGCGGACGGGUGAGGAAUACAUCGGAAUCUACUUUUUCGUGGGGGCUAGCGCAGGGAAACUUACGCUAAUACCGCAUACGACGUACGGGUGAAAGCAGGGGACCUUCGGCCCUUGCGCGAUUGAAUGAGCCGAUGUCGGAUUAGCUAGUUGGCGGGGUAAAGGCCCACCAAGGCGACGAUCCGUAGCUGGUCUGAGAGGAUGAUCAGCCACACUGGAACUGAGACACGGUCCAGACUCCUACGGGAGGCAGCAGUGGGGAAUAUUGGACAAUGGGCGCAAGCCUGAUCCAGCCAUGCCGCGUGGGUGAAGAAGGCCUUCGGGUUGUAAAGCCCUUUUGUUGGGAAAGAAAGGCAGCAGGUUAAUACCCCGCUGUUCUGACGUUACCCACAGAAUAAGCACCGGCUAACUUCGUG